Molecule: ribosomal RNA, 1148 nt
Filed under: Acinetobacter calcoaceticus
Lineage: Bacteria; Pseudomonadati; Pseudomonadota; Gammaproteobacteria; Moraxellales; Moraxellaceae
Description: bacterial SSU rRNA
Rfam family: Bacterial small subunit ribosomal RNA
Source: RNAcentral
ACCACAUGCAAGUCGAGCGGGGUGAUGGUGCUUGCACUAUCACCUAGCGGCGGACGGGUGAGUAAUGCUUAGGAAUCUGCCUAUUAGUGGGGGACAACAUUUCGAAAGGAAUGCUAAUACCGCAUACGUCCUACGGGAGAAAGCAGGGGAUCUUCGGACCUUGCGCUAAUAGAUGAGCCUAAGUCGGAUUAGCUAGUUGGUGGGGUAAAGGCCUACCAAGGCGACGAUCUGUAGCGGGUCUGAGAGGAUGAUCCGCCACACUGGGACUGAGACACGGCCCAGACUCCUACGGGAGGCAGCAGUGGGGAAUAUUGGACAAUGGGCGCAAGCCUGAUCCAGCCAUGCCGCGUGUGUGAAGAAGGCCUUAUGGUUGUAAAGCACUUUAAGCGAGGAGGAGGCUACUUUAGAUAAUACCUAGAGAUAGUGGACGUUACUCGCAGAAUAAGCACCGGCUAACUCUGUGCCAGCAGCCGCGGUAAUACAGAGGGUGCAAGCGUUAAUCGGAUUUACUGGGCGUAAAGCGCGCGUAGGCGGCUAAUUAAGUCAAAUGUGAAAUCCCCGAGCUUAACUUGGGAAUUGCAUUCGAUACUGGUUAGCUAGAGUGUGGGAGAGGAUGGUAGAAUUCCAGGUGUAGCGGUGAAAUGCGUAGAGAUCUGGAGGAAUACCGAUGGCGAAGGCAGCCAUCUGGCCUAACACUGACGCUGAGGUGCGAAAGCAUGGGGAGCAAACAGGAUUAGAUACCCUGGUAGUCCAUGCCGUAAACGAUGUCUACUAGCCGUUGGGGCCUUUGAGGCUUUAGUGGCGCAGCUAACGCGAUAAGUAGACCGCCUGGGGAGUACGGUCGCAAGACUAAAACUCAAAUGAAUUGACGGGGGCCCGCACAAGCGGUGGAGCAUGUGGUUUACUUCGAUGCAACGCGAAGAACCUUACCUGGCCUUGACAUAGUAAGAACUUUCCAGAGAUGGAUUGGUGCCUUCCGGGAACUUAACAUACAGGUGCUGCAUGGCUGUCGUCAGCUCGUGGUCGUGAGAUGUUGGGUUAAGUCCCGCACGAGCGCAACCCUUUUCCUUAUUUGCCAGCGAGUAUGUCCGGAACUUAGGAUUACUGCCAGUGAACAACUUGAGGAAGGCGGGGACGAACGUCAGUCA